AUGCCGGCCAGCCAGAGGUUUCUUUUCUUCCUCGUCGCCUUCCUCCUCCUGGCGGCGACGGCGUCGGCCGGAGGGGACGACCACGCCGCCGGCACGAGCGAGGCGCGUCCGCCCGACGCGGCGUUCGACGUGCGGGCGAGGAAGUGGUGGCCGCGGGUCCCGGCGACGGACGGCCUCGUCAGGGGCAGCGAGCGCCGGGUGCCCAACUCCUCCGACCCGCUCCACAACCGCUGA
Molecule: ribosomal RNA, 234 nt
Filed under: Triticum aestivum (bread wheat)
Lineage: Eukaryota; Viridiplantae; Streptophyta; Magnoliopsida; Poales; Poaceae
Description: partial small subunit ribosomal RNA
Source: RNAcentral